AGUGAACGCUGGCGGUAGGCCUAACACAUGCCAGUCGAACGGCAGCACAGUAAGAGCUUGCUCUUACGGGUGGCGAGUGGCGGACGGGUGAGGAAUAAAUCGGAAUCUACUUUUUCGUGGGGGAUAACGUAGGGAAACUUACGCUAAUACCGCAUACGACCUACGGGUGAAAGCAGGGGAUCUUCGGACCUUGCGCGAUUGAAUGAGCCGAUGUCGGAUUAGCUAGUUGGCGGGGUAAAGGCCCACCAAGGCGACGAUCCGUAGCUGGUCUGAGAGGAUGAUCAGACACACUGGAACUGAAGCACGGUCCAGACUACUACGGGAGGCAGCAGUGGGGAAUAUUGGACAAUGGGCGCAAGCCUGAUCCAGCCCUACCGCGUGGGUGAAGAAGGCCUUCGGGUUGUAAAGCCCUUUUGUUGGGAAAGAAAAGCAGCAGGUUAAUACCCCGCUGUUCUGACGGUACCCAAAGAAUAAGCACCGGCUAACUUCGUG
This 492-nucleotide ribosomal RNA is filed under the name uncultured bacterium. Its description in RNAcentral is "partial 16S ribosomal RNA". It matches the Rfam family "Bacterial small subunit ribosomal RNA", at positions 29 to 507 of the family's 1533-position model. The record is from RNAcentral.